CCGUGACCAUUUUGCCCUUCCUAUUGGCCUUCCACGAAUCAAUGAGAAAAUAACAACAGUCUCUUUUCUUUCUUAUCUAAUAUUUCAUCAAUUUGGCUCGACGGUUUGUAGGUCAGGAUUCGAUAGUACCACGAUGGACCUAACUUUACGAAACGUUUCGCUUUUUUUCUUUUUUUUUUUUUGAUAAUAUCGAAAAGUAUAAAGAGAAAGUCGAUAUAUAUAAGUCGAUGUUAUCGUUUUUUUUUUUUUUUUACAGAUAAACGUGUAAAGGAUAUACAUAUAUGAAGAUAAAUUUUAUGCGCGGUUUAUUUUGUUGAAAAAUUUGUUAAAAAAGUUGUGCAAGCGUUUCCUUUCGACUAUAUAUAUAUCGUUAGCCGUAUCGUUGAUAAGAAGCUUAAAGCUUCUGUAACAGGCAUAAUUUAACGAGUUAAUCGGCUACGGAUGGAGAAUUUAAUUAAUACCAACCUGAUGGAAACCUAUAUAAACCUCUGGGACAACAAUAUCGUUUAUCGAUAUAGUUGGAUUACGAAGAGAUAGAAACAGCUGUUCGAAUAAUUAAUCGAAAUAAAUAAUCGAAUUUUUUUUCGAGAAUAAUCUUUAAAUUAAAAUGGAUCGAAACGAUGAAAAGGAAUGUAAAAAUUUUCGUCGAAAUAAUAAUUGAAGGAACAGGAGAGAGAGAGAGAGAGAGCACGUGCUUCAGAUUUAUCGCAGGAUAUAGUCGUAUCGUGAUUGGCGUGCCAACAAACUCGACGACUAUCGCAAUUCUCCCCAUCCUAAAAUCGAUAUCGUCACAGGUACACUGGUAACCACGCAAGGAAACUGUAAUCGAUAAUGGGCGAGGAAUCGAUCGAGUCCUCGACGAUCUAACCUAUACACGUCCGCCAUGUUCUACUUCUUCGAUUUCACGAAGAGAAGUGUUCUUUCCUCGAUUCGAUGAAAUGUCGAAAGAUAAAAUGGAUAAAAAGGAAUACGGAUAGAAAGCAAGAACAUAUGGAUGGCGAUAAGUUAUAUUCCUAUCUUUCCUACUUUCCAGAUAAUUAAAUUUAGCUUCAAUCGCGUCACCAGGUAAAUAGAGAUUAUCGACCGGUAUGAUUCGUAGCUUUGCACGCGAAUUGACAUUUGUUAUCGACUUGUUACCAACCUUCAAACAAGUAUCAUCGAUUUGUUUACGUAAAAAAGGAACGCUUCUUAACCUUCAAUUUUAAGAAAGUAGAUUAUCGAAUAAUUCUUUUUUUCUUUUCAGAAACAUUAAUUGUAGAAACUGCCAAAUUGAAAAAUUUAAGGAAAGGCUGUAGCGAAGCGAGGUCACGUAACUCGAUGGAGAAGAAAAAUUACGUGCAUGUCGAUUUAUAUUUAGAACAUCCAAAUGAAAUCCAGUAGCGCGCCGCUCGAGCUUUGUACAUGCUCUAAACAACAGAUAUUCUACGCUGUACAAAAAAUAUUCCAAGCGAAGAUAUAAAAAGGGGGGGGGGAAAAAAAGAAAAGGAUACACAGAAGAAUAGAAAAUUUUGAACGAGAUGAAAUUGAGAAAAGCAGCGAUCUAUCGAGAAUUCUAUUUAGCAUAGCACAGAGAAAAAACGGAAUCGACGAUGCGGCCAAGAAUAUUGGACGAUAUUGGAAAACAAUCGAACGCGUCGUCUGCACGUAUACACAACGGCGGAGCUCUAGCUUUGCUCGAAUUUCGUAAUGACGUAAUUGAGAAAGUUUCGGCGAAGAGCGUUGCUCCAAUAUCCCGAACACUUGUCCAUAGUGUCUCUCUGAAGGCGCACGCGUAAUACCGAGCACGCGGUCACCGUUGAAACUCCAGCCUGAAACGGAGAAUUCGUUUAAGAGGGAAAAGGACCUGCCA
Apis mellifera (honey bee) is the source of this 1849-nucleotide long non-coding RNA. RefSeq lists it as uncharacterized. The record is from RefSeq and is a predicted model, not a curated record. NCBI's taxonomy places the organism in Eukaryota, Metazoa, Arthropoda, Insecta, Hymenoptera, Apidae. The transcript is spliced from 3 exons.